GACGUAGCUUUCCGUGGGGUCUGCUACUGCAGUUGGUUCCCGGCGGGAGCCGCAGGGUCAGUCUGUGGCUCUUCCCCUACCACGCUUCCUCAGAGGCUGAGGAGGCGCUUUCCACUUCUCCGGCUUUCCGUCUUCGGCACUGUGUGCUCCUUGCUCCGCGGUUUCUCUACCUAGUCUUCCCUCCCGUCUUCGGUCCAUCUCCAAAGCCGGGGCUUGGCGGGGACUAGCCCUCCGGGAAAGGCAGGGCCGCGACCUCCCCGUCCCCGACCUGCAGGAACCCUCCUCCCUCGGCCCCUCACACCAGGUUUCCGCACUGACCCUCUCCUUCGCUUCGGUUCUGCCGCGCUCACCUCCUUUCACUCCUUUUUUUUUUUUCUCCUCUGCAGGGAUGGAAGCUUCCUGGCGCCAGGUGGCGAGUGGCAGAGGCCGAGCCCGGGGACGGGCGAGUGCCGCCCCCUCCUCUGGAAAUGGAGUCCAUCUCCGUGGCGCCGGAGGAGGGCGAGAGAAGGGGUCGGUGGGCGCGGUUCCUUCUGGCGCCAUUCCCGGAGGAGUCGCGACCACGGCCGCUGCGAGGAGCAGUAACAGCCCCGCGGGAUCCCAAGCCCUGCAGACGCCCGCAGUCCACGAGCUAGUGUCUCAGAAAAAAUUUGAAGAAAUCAAGAAAGCUAACCAAGCUGCAGCCAGAAAACUUGUUGAAGAACACUUUAGCUCUUCAUCUGAAGAAGAAGGAGAUGAAGAUUUUGAAGGAAAACAGGGAAGAAUAGUUGCUAAUACAUUUAUAACAUACACUACUCAGACAGAUGGAGAUAUACGUGAAUUAGAGAGAACAAAACAAUAUGUAAAUGAAGCUUUUCAAGCAGGGGCUAUGACGUGCUUAAUUUGUAUUGCUUCCGUGAAGAGAAACCAAGCAGUUUGGAGCUGUUUGGGAUGUUUCUGUAUAUUUCACAUGCCAUGUAUCCAGAAGUGGGCUAAAGACAGUCAGUUUCUUGUAUCUUCUGUGACCGAUGAUGAUUUUGGAAAGAGAGGUUAUCCCUGGCCUUGUCCAAAAUGUAGGUUUGAAUAUAAACGAUCUGAAACACCUAGUAGGUACUAUUGCUAUUGUGGAAAAGUAGAAGAUCCACCUUUAGAUCCAUGGCUUGUGCCUCAUUCAUGUGGCCAAGUAUGUGAGCGAGAAUUUAAACCUCCUUGUGGCCAUAAGUGUUUACUCCUCUGUCAUCCAGGUCCCUGCCCUCCUUGUCCAAAGAUGGUCACAACUACUUGUUACUGUAAGAAAGCAAAACCUAUCCCUCGUAGGUGCAGUGCCAAGGAAUGGUCCUGUCAGCUGCCAUGUGGACGAAAGUUGCUUUGUGGGCAACAUAAAUGUGGAAAUCCUUGUCAUGCAGGAAGUUGUCAGCCUUGUCCAAGAGUUAGUAGACAGAAGUGUGUCUGUGGCAAGAAAGUAGCUGAAAGAAGUUGUUCAAGUCCAUUAUGGCACUGUGAUCAAGUAUGUGGAAAAACACUGCCAUGUGGUAAUCACACAUGUGAGCAAGUUUGCCAUGUUGGUGCUUGUGGAGAAUGUCCUCGAUCUGGGAAAAGGUUCUGUCCAUGUCAGAAAUCAAAGUUUUCUUUGCCUUGUACGGAAGAUGUACCAACUUGUGGAGACAGUUGUGAUAAAGUUCUUGAAUGUGGAAUCCAUAGAUGUUCACAGCGUUGUCACCGAGGUCCCUGUGAAACAUGUAGACAAGAAGUGGAAAAGCACUGUCGCUGUGGAAAGCAUACAAAACGAAUGCCUUGUCAUAAACCUUAUCUGUGUGAAACUAAAUGUGUUAAGAUGCGUGACUGUCAGAAGCAUCAAUGUAGAAGAAAGUGUUGCCCUGGAAACUGUCCACCUUGUGAUCAAAACUGUGGACGGACUUUAGGAUGUAGAAACCAUAAGUGUCCAUCUGUCUGCCACAGAGGCAGUUGCUAUCCCUGUCCAGAAACCGUAGAUGUGAAGUGUAAUUGUGGCAAUACUAAGGUAACAGUGCCUUGUGGCCGAGAAAGGACCACAAGACCACCCAAGUGUAAGGAGCAAUGCAGUCGACCACCAACUUGUCAUCAUAUAAGUCAAGAGAAACAUCGCUGUCACUUUGGCUCUUGUCCACCAUGUCAUCAACCUUGCCAAAAAGUUUUGGAGAAAUGUGGUCACUUGUGUCCUGCUCCAUGUCAUGAUCAAGCAUUAAUAAAGCAGACUGGCAGGCACCAGCCUACAGGCCCUUGGGAACAGCCUUCAGAGCCAGCAUUUAUUCAGACUGCAUUACCGUGUCCUCCAUGUCAAGUUCCUAUUCCUGUAGAAUGUCUUGGGAAACAUGAGGUGAGUCCACUACCAUGCCAUGCCUUAGGACCCUACUCUUGUAAAAGAGUUUGUGGAAGAAUCUUAGAUUGUCAGAAUCACACAUGUAUGAAAGAAUGCCACAAAGUAACCAAAAUUGAUGGCUCAACUGGAAAAAACAAGGCUGGCCCAGAAUGCCUUCAUUGUGAAGAAGGGUGCUCCAGGCCACGGCCACUAGGUUGUCUUCACCCAUGUGUUUUGCCAUGUCACCCUGGAGAAUGUCCACCUUGUGUUCAGAUGCUUAGAAUAAAGUGUCACUGUAAGAUCACAAGCCUGUAUGUGGAAUGUAGCUUCCUUGUGGUCAUAGAUGCAAAGAGAUGUGUCAUCCUGGUGAAUGUCCCUUUAAUUGCAACCAGAAGGUAAAACUUAGAUGUCCUUGUAAAAGAAUAAAAAAGGAAUUGCAGUGCAACAAAGUACGUGAAAAUCAGGUUUCAAUAGAAUGUGACACAACGUGCAAGGAAAUGAAGCGGAAAGCAUCUGAGAUAAAAGAAGCAGAAGCCAAAGCUGCUUAUGAAGAAGAAAAACGAAGACAACAGGCUGAACUAGAAGCUUUUGAAAACAGACUGAAGGGUCGUCGGAAGAAGAGCAGGAAAAGAGAUGAAGUGGCGGUUGAGCUAUCACCAUGGCAGAAACAUAAAUAUUAUCUCCUUUCAGUGUGUGGAGUUGUGGUUGUAAUGUUUGCAUGGUACAUCACCCAUGAUGUGGAUUAAAAAAUGUUUUGAUCUUUUAAUAUAACUCAGAUUGGAUUUAGAUAAGUUGUUAAAUUUGGAAUAUUAUAAAAUGUAUAUUAUAGAACAUGGUAUAUUUGCAUUCAUCUAUGUAUUCUCUUUUAGCUAUUGUUAGGACAGAAUGUUAAACUUUAUCUUAAUUAGUAUACUAGAAAGGGCAGUAUAACACUGUUUAAAGUGAAAGCAUGACUGAAAUUGUAAAAUAUUUCGUAAGGCUUAGCUAGAAGCAGAGUAAUAUGUUUUUGUUCAUUGGGCUUCCUUGUACUAAUUUAGUUUUUUCAUUUAAUAUUUCAAACCAACACAUUUUUAAAAAAUAAUUCAGAUGAAACUGAGCCAUAUGUUCAGUAAGAGGAAUAUUUCUUAAUGUUUUGGUUACUUAUCAUAGGGUACUUUUCUUGAUCUUAUUAACUUUGUACUUUUUUAAAAAAGUGAUUCUCUAACAGACCUCUUAAAUUGUGACAUGAAGGUAUAUAACUAGAUUUUAGAAAUUGGUUUAUUAGUGAGGAAUUUUUAUCAAUAAAUGUCAUGUGGUGUGUUCUUCAGAAAAUACAGUUAUUUUCAACAGAUGCCAGGCUAGAUUCCUCACAUGUGGCUAUUUCUUAUGUAAGAAGCUUUUAACUGAAGUUGGCAUGUUUCAUAAAACUUCUAUGUAUCUUUUAAAAAUAAGAGUAAAAGGAAAAUGAAUAUUUAUGCAGAAUAUGUACUGACAACAAGGCUUAUGAGCUUUAUGUACUUUAAUCUCAUUUCUCCUUACCGCAAUCCUAAAUAGAUUUCAGCUGAAAAUAAUCAAUUCUUAUGAAAACAAAUAGAGAAGUAUCAGUAAGUCUAAUCUGUUUGAAUUAUAUUUCAUUUCAAAUAGUUUUGCUAUUUAAUUUAUAUGAUUAAUGUUUUCAUUAAAAUUUUUCAUACCAAA
Molecule: RNA transcript, 3991 nt
Organism: Cebus imitator (Panamanian white-faced capuchin)
Lineage: Eukaryota; Metazoa; Chordata; Mammalia; Primates; Cebidae
Gene: NFXL1
Gene name: nuclear transcription factor, X-box binding like 1
Exons: 21
Source: RefSeq, a predicted model, not a curated record